Molecule: long non-coding RNA, 879 nt
Organism: Strongylocentrotus purpuratus (purple sea urchin)
Lineage: Eukaryota; Metazoa; Echinodermata; Echinoidea; Camarodonta; Strongylocentrotidae
Exons: 3
Source: RefSeq, a predicted model, not a curated record
UGAAUUUCUAUUAUCAUAGAAGUUUGUCAAAUACGUCUCAGUUGAGCAGAAAAUCUUCAGGCGAACAUCGACAUCAAAGUGAUACCAUACGGAUACCAAAAAAAUCCUAUGCAACCAAAAAGCAGAUAAUAACCACAGAUGUGCAACAGAGACUACCAGUACCUGAUCAUCAUAUGUUAUGGUGUAGAUCUCAGGAACAGGACACCUAAGUUGAACUCUGGCAAGGUUGUCCCAUGCAGAAGGUUCGAUACCCAGGCUUCUUUCUAUCUACUCUCAUCUUGAGAACUCUUGAGAUCUCUACAUCAGCACGCUACAUCACAAUGGAAAAUACAAGAAAACCAGCAGUGUGACUGAGAUGAUCAGCACAUUUUAGUGGCAUACCUUAUCUACAAGGCACUCUGCAUGUACAUGUAGACUAGGAAUUGUGCACAAGGUAGUCAAUGGUCUCUCUGCCUUUCCCUUGAAAGCCCUAUUUUCCUUCACAUAUCACAAACAUGGGAGAACCAAGCCAGAAGCGACAUAGAUCCGUUUGUAUUUGCCCAACGCUCCGUCCCAAAGUUUAAUAAUGGAACUGGCUUCCAGCAAAUGUAUGCCGACAGUCCUGCCAGGUCGAACUGCAAGGGACUACUCCUGAGGCAUCUAAUGCCCUUAUCUCAUUAAAAAAAUAUCAUCUGUCUUCCUCACACCCCUUCACUAGUUCAUCUUCGUGAUAAGCUGUAUAGCCCUUUGAAUAAAAUUAUUUGUUGUUUUAAUGUGUGUACAUGUAAGAUACAGGUAGCUUUUUGAUAUUUAAUCUGAAUUCAAAUUCUGACCAAUUUAUUAGGGAUGCUGAACUGGAUAUUAAAUUCAAGGUGGGGGAAAUAAAAUGAUGUAGGAAUA